This 651-nucleotide ribosomal RNA is filed under the name Nothophoma quercina. Its description in RNAcentral is "partial 28S ribosomal RNA". It matches the Rfam family "Eukaryotic large subunit ribosomal RNA", at positions 1 to 667 of the family's 3401-position model. The record is from RNAcentral. Lineage: Eukaryota; Fungi; Ascomycota; Dothideomycetes; Pleosporales; Didymellaceae.
UGACCUCGGAUCAGGUAGGGAUACCCGCUGAACUUAAGCAUAUCAAUAAGCGGAGGAAAAGAAACCAACAGGGAUUGCCCUAGUAACGGCGAGUGAAGCGGCAACAGCUCAAAUUUGAAAUCUGGCGUCUUUGGCGUCCGAGUUGUAAUUUGCAGAGGGCGCUUUGGCAUUGGCAGCGGUCCAAGUUCCUUGGAACAGGACGUCACAGAGGGUGAGAAUCCCGUACGUGGUCGCUAGCCUUUACCGUGUAAAGCCCCUUCGACGAGUCGAGUUGUUUGGGAAUGCAGCUCUAAAUGGGAGGUAAAUUUCUUCUAAAGCUAAAUACUGGCCAGAGACCGAUAGCGCACAAGUAGAGUGAUCGAAAGAUGAAAAGCACUUUGGAAAGAGAGUUAAAAAGCACGUGAAAUUGUUGAAAGGGAAGCGCUUGCAGCCAGACUUGCCUGUAGUUGCUCAUCCGGGUUUCUACCCGGUGCACUCUUCUAUAGGCAGGCCAGCAUCAGUUUGGGCGGUUGGAUAAAGGUCUCUGUCAUGUACCUCCUUUCGGGGAGAACUUAUAGGGGAGACGACAUGCAACCAGCCUGGACUGAGGUCCGCGCAUCUGCUAGGAUGCUGGCGUAAUGGCUGUAAGCGGCCCGUCUUGAAACACGGACC